Molecule: long non-coding RNA, 1401 nt
Filed under: Linum usitatissimum (flax)
Lineage: Eukaryota; Viridiplantae; Streptophyta; Magnoliopsida; Malpighiales; Linaceae
Description: long non-coding RNA (LUSI_LNC002863)
Source: RNAcentral
UGGACUCAGCCCGCCCUCCGCUCUCCUCAUAGGCCGCCCUUAGUCGGCCUAUGAGCGCGUCGAGGCUGCCCCACGCCUGCCUUAGAGGGCAGACACAGGGAGCUGGAGGGUUCGGGUGGCCGAAGUAGGGGCAGCCGGAAGCGUGGACUUUGGUCUUGCCGAACUGGUCUAGAUACUUGAGGAACUCGAUCACGUGGGCCCCGCUGCAGCGCGCCAGAGUCAAAGGAGGCUUGUGGUUCUUCAGAUACUGUAGGAAAGUGUUCCAGUCUCUCCUCUUCUGUGACUCGUACCUGCUUGGCUGCGCCGCCGCCUGCUUGUCAGUUCCUGUCGGGGGGGGGGGAGGAGACGGUCGGUCUGGCUAGUGUGAGGAGACGGUCGGUCUGGCUGCUCUAUUGUUGUUGUGGGUGGGGGUGUAAGUCCAGCUGAUGACGUGGACUCCAUCAAGUGAUGAUCUAGAUAACUGUGUGAUAUUUGGAUUUUUGUUUUGUUUUGCAAUGGAGGAGCUGCUGGAUGAGCUCUGUUGGAGCUGAAGGGAAGAAAGAGAGAGGGAAAGGGAAGAAAUGAUGGGAGGGAAGGGGCAAAUAUAUUUAAUAUAAUAAUAAUAAAAGAAUGGUUUAAUUUGUAUGGUUUGAUGGGACGUAAAAGAGAGGUGAUGGAUGAAUGAUAUGAUAUGCCCACCAAAAUAUAUUAUAAAAAUAUUAAAAUGUCUUGGGAGGAAUGGCAGAUAACGCUGAAUUUCACAAGUGUUUGAAAUUCUCAUUUUGUGUUUGGUUUAGGUUCAUAACUGUUGAUGAAACAUAUACAAACUUCAUUGAAACAAACCUCCAUAACUGUUGCAAUCGUUUCAAGUAUGAUUGGUUCAUCUCUCUGAGACACUCUGACGAGGGUCCACCUCUUCACAAUAUGGCAACAACCCAAUGAUUCAACUACAAUAAGCCCAAAACCCGUGACAGAAGUUAAAAGCAGUAGGGUGUGAUCCAAUUCAAUAAAGUUUGAACGUUGAAGAAUGAAUUGGGAACAAACCCACAACUUCGGCAGCAUAUUUUUUAAAUUAAAUACCUCUUCCUUCACUAGAUUAUCAAGUUCCGCCUUGCAACUUCCUGAGAUGUGAACUGUCCACAACCCAGACCAGCCCAUCUGUCUGCUCCAAGUAGUUUCUCCAGUAGAAUCUUAUCGUCCUUUGCCCACCAACGUCCCAUAUGUUCAGCAUAUACCUACCCAGACGCAUCAAUUUGGGAAAUUAGACCAAGACAGAUUGGGGGAAAUUUAGAUUGGUUUUUUUCUACAAAAAUAUUACUUGUGGUAAGUGAUGGUUUUGAUGUUGAAGCCGAGGGUUGGGCUGAUGACGGUGGUGUCUUCUCCGUUGAUCUUGAGAACGAUCGUCGUCUUUCCGGAGUUGUC